Molecule: ribosomal RNA, 451 nt
Filed under: uncultured bacterium
Lineage: Bacteria
Description: bacterial SSU rRNA
Rfam family: Bacterial small subunit ribosomal RNA
Source: RNAcentral
AGCGAACGCUGGCGGCAGGCUUAACACAUGCAAGUCGAGCGGGCGUAGCAAUACGUCAGCGGCAGACGGGUGAGUAACGCGUGGGAACAUACCUUUUGGUUCGGAACAACACAGGGAAACUUGUGCUAAUACCGGAUAAGCCCUUACGGGGAAAGAUUUAUCGCCGAAAGAUUGGCCCGCGUCUGAUUAGCUAGUUGGUGAGGUAACGGCUCACCAAGGCGACGAUCAGUAGCUGGCUGAGAGGAUGAUCAGCCACAUUGGGACUGAGACACGGCCCAAACUCCUACGGGAGGCAGCAGUGGGGAAUAUUGGACAAUGGGCGAAAGCCUGAUCCAGCCAUGCCGCGUGAGUGAUGAAGGCCCUAGGGUUGUAAAGCUCUUUUGUGCGGGAAGAUAAUGACGGUACCGCAAGAAUAAGCCCCGGCUAACUUCGUGCCAGCCGCCGCAGUAAU